GGGUAGGGCCGCAAUUACCCAAUUCCUAACAGUUUGAGAAGGAAGGUAGUAACAAGAAAUAACAAUACAAGGCAGUUAAAAUGCUUUGUAAUUGGAAUGAUAGAAAUUUAAACCCUUUUUAAAGUAUCAAUUGGAGGGCAAGUCUGGUGCCAGCAGCCGCGGUAAUUCCAGCUCCAAUAGCGUAUAUUAAAAUUGUUGCAGUUAAAAAGCUCGUAGUUGAAGUUCUGCUGAAAGUAACCGGUCUGCUUUUAAUAAAAGUGGUAUCUUGGUAUGUAUUUAGCAAUGAUGUCCUUUGAAGUGUUUUUUACUUUAUUGUAAUAAAGCAUAUUCAGGACUUUUACUUUGAGAAAAUUAGAGUGUUUCUAGCAGGCUAACGCUUUGAAUACUGCAGCAUGGAAUAAUAAGAUAGGAUUUUAGUUCUACAUUAUUGGUUUUAAGAGCUAAAUUAAUGAUUGAUAGGGACAGUUGGGGGCAUUCGUAUUUAAAA
This 487-nucleotide ribosomal RNA is filed under the name Hepatozoon canis. Its description in RNAcentral is "SSU rRNA". It matches the Rfam family "Eukaryotic small subunit ribosomal RNA", at positions 423 to 903 of the family's 1831-position model. Lineage: Eukaryota; Apicomplexa; Hepatozoidae. The record is from RNAcentral.